Long non-coding RNA from Triticum aestivum (bread wheat), 2598 nucleotides. RefSeq lists it as uncharacterized. The transcript is spliced from 7 exons. NCBI's taxonomy places the organism in Eukaryota, Viridiplantae, Streptophyta, Magnoliopsida, Poales, Poaceae. The record is from RefSeq and is a predicted model, not a curated record.
GUCACGAGCUACUCGUUUAGCUCACGAGCUUCAAGCUUUUUUUCAGCCCUGGCCACCGCGGAAGACUCCUUUUCCCCUUUUCCAUCCUUCUCCCUCUUUUCUCCGCCCGUUUCACUCGCCGUGGCCGAUGGACGCACCACCGGAGACCACGGCCACUCCGAAAACGGCGGCGAUGAGAAGGCUCGGCCCUUGGCGCAGACCCGCGAGGCGGCACGGCGACGGCAGCAACAUUUUUCUCCAACCCGUUUCGGUUUGAGGUUACGGCAGAGGUUUCUUGGUUUCUUCAGACGUCUGCGGGGUAGACCAUGCUGCCCGCCGUGAGGGGAGACGCCGCCCCAGGCACGAGCACCGCCGCCGCCGAGAAGCUCGUCCAUGGCCAUGGGCCUGUCACCGUCGGAAAGUGCAAGAAGAAAGCUCCGAGGAAGAUCCACAAAGCCGAUAGGGAGAAACAUGAGCGCGACCUGCUCAAUGAUCUCUUCAGUGAACUUGGCGAAAUAGGUGCUUUUAGUAUUCCAUUCUCAGUCAUACACCAUGCCUGGUACUACAGGUCCUGCUACAAAAACUGAGACUUCAUCAGUGAAAAAAUGCAGGUGCUUCAACUUUCACAGGUCUUCCUAAUUCUAUCUGUUCGAAACCGUCAGUUGCAAAUUCAGGCCCAUCUUUAAAUGUCGACUGUUGCGAGAAGAUUAUACAAAAGUUGAAUAAAGGAAUAUAAAUAAUACUUAUGCAAGGGUAAUACUUUGGUAGUUCCACUGAAGUCAAGCAUCUGAGAGCAAGGCUGACAACUGCUGAGCAAGAUGAUCCUGAUAAAACAAGGGCAGCAGACUAAAUAGGUAAAGCUUGGUAUAACUUGCCACAUUUUGACUUAACUUGGGACCCAUGACUUCCAAUUCUGUCUACCAUUUGGCUUCUUGAUGUUGCAUGGGAACUCCUGGAGCAUGUACAGUUGUUCAUUGCAAAGUGGGAUUUAUACAUGCCUACGGUUGUCCAAUCAUGUUUGCUUACUGUAUGGUGUAUAUGCAACGAGGCCCCCUAUGAAAUUUGGAUUUAUAGUUUUUUGUUCCAAAAAGUGGAAACAUAAACUCCGCCGCUGUAAAUUACAAAUUAUUUUGUUAACUUCCUUUCCAGCACAUUUAGGGUGUAUGAUCUUGUGCAUAUUACAGGUAUAGUGUUGUGCACCAAUCUGGUUGAUGUUUACAUAAUCCAAGCAGAUUUACCAAUUAGAAGAGCCAUGUAUUAUUGUAGUUUUCUCUCUACAUCAAGUACACAUAAAUAUAAUGCCGUAGAAUGUAGUUUCUUUUAUUGUUCUGCAGAUCUUCCCCGUGAGGCGCUACAGAUCAGAUGGGCGCUGUCGUGAAGGCCGCGAAGGCGUGGCUGGCGGCAUGGGUUAGCCUGUGGGUGGUACCACCGUGCUGCUCUGGACGUGCAUUGUGGUGCUGCUCGUGGCGGCUUUCGGAGGGAGACAGAGUGCAGGACAUAGAGAAUUUGGGGGCUACUCGGGUUUGGAUCAGCAAGCCAUGUCCGUUUGGUUUGGCAAAGGCCUUUUAUCCUUUUUCUAUAAUGCCAUGAACGUCUCUGAAUUUUUACACUACUUCCAGCCGAUGCUUAAUAUUUUUUCCAACAUAUUUGUGACUGGAGCCCACACAUACAUAGUCAUGGAUAUGAUUUUGUGUUUUGGAUCUUGCUAUUUCACUAAUUUGGAACAUGUAUAUGCAGUUCUAGGCUUCUAGCUAGAUGGAUUAAUAGAUAUGUUGGACCUAUGCAUUUUAUAUUAUCCGCAUGGAUCUAUGUUUAUUAUUUGAUGCUCCUCCUUAUCCUGGGGAAGAACUUUUGCAAAGAGUUUGUCAUUUUUGGAGAUAUGGAUUUGUUGUCACUUCAGCAGUAUGCUUUUAGUGCUACAGAGUAUGCUGUGAAAUUAGAUUAGAUUGAUGAUUAGCAAUUAACUAUAGAACUGUUGGCAGCACCAGUUUAACAUAUGUUGAUUUCAGGCCCAUCUUUAUUUGCUUUCGAGUUAAACUAUGAAUUUGAAAACAAAAAAAUUAUACAUUGUUGAUGCUAAAUUUAUCAGUCCUUUUGUUUUGAUAAUCACCUCCUGCAUAUGUGUUCCUGGGUAGUUUUCGUACUGCCACAACUUUUGUUGUUUUGGCAGGAUAAUGUAUUUUCUUAUGGAAAACACGGAUGAGUAAUUACAUGAUACAUUAUUAAUAUUAAACUAUGUUGUUUCUCUGAAACUAACUUUGUCUUUCAGCUUUGGAAACUGGUGUUCUAACGUUAGUUCCAACAAGAGGGCCACUAUAACCACCAACUGGUUUGAGUUUCGUCGCCGUGCCAACAUUCACGAAGGAGACGUCUAUGCAUUUCGUUUCAGGAUCACUUCAAAGCGCCGCCUGGUUUUCAUCGUGCACCGCCUCUAGAUGCACCAUCGAAGACGCUGCAGCCCCUGUGUCAAUAUAAUCUAGCACUAAGUACUCUUAAUUAUGCUCUAUCCUGUGAUACCCUAUGGUUUGCUUUUGGCCCUGUCACAAGCUUUUCAAGACACUAAAUCUAUCUUGUUGCUUAUGUAAAGUGCACUAUUCUCAGUCAGAUGUUUCAUGUUCA